GCCAGCGGUCAUAGCAUUUUGAAUGCACCAGUUAUUAAUGGAUCAGUUAAGCAACCUUACACGUGGUUGACAUCCGGAUGGGUGACCAUCUGGGCAAUCGCGUGCUGCUGGCU
Molecule: ribosomal RNA, 113 nt
Filed under: Diaphorina citri (Asian citrus psyllid)
Lineage: Eukaryota; Metazoa; Arthropoda; Insecta; Hemiptera; Psyllidae
Source: RNAcentral